Molecule: ribosomal RNA, 430 nt
Filed under: uncultured bacterium
Lineage: Bacteria
Description: bacterial SSU rRNA
Rfam family: Bacterial small subunit ribosomal RNA
Source: RNAcentral
AACGCGAAGAACCUUACCUAGACUUGACAUCUCCUGAAUUACUCUUAAUCGAGGAAGCCCUUCGGGGCAGGAAGACAGGUGGCGCAUGGUUGUCGUCAGCUCGUGUCGUGAGAUGUUGGGUUAAGUUCCGCAACGAGCGCAACCCUUAUUGUUAGUCGCUACCAUUUAGUUGAGCACUCUAGCGAGACUGCCGUGGUUAACGCGGAGGAAGGUGGGGAUGACGUCAAAUCAUCAUGCCCCUUAUGUCUAGGGCUACACACGUGCUACAAUGGUCGGUACAGAGAGAUGCGAAACCGCGAGGUGGAGCCAAACUUCAAAACCGAUCUCAGUUCGGAUUGUAGGCUGAAACUCGCCUACAUGAAGCUGGAGUUGCUAGUAAUCGCGAAUCAGAAUGCCGCGGUGAAUACGUUCCCGGGCCUUGUACACACCG